Molecule: non-coding RNA, 21 nt
Filed under: Caenorhabditis elegans
Lineage: Eukaryota; Metazoa; Nematoda; Chromadorea; Rhabditida; Rhabditidae
Source: RNAcentral
UUUAGAAAAAUGGUAUUUUUU